UUAAGCGACUAAGCGUACACGGUGGAUGCCCUGGCAGUCAGAGGCGAUGAAGGACGUGCUAAUCUGCGAUAAGCGUCGGUGAGGUGAUAUGAACCGUUAUAACCGGCGAUUUCCGAAUGGGGAAACCCAGUGUGUUUCGACACACUAUCAUUAACUGAAUCCAUAGGUUAAUGAGGCGAACCGGGGGAACUGAAACAUCUAAGUACCCCGAGGAAAAGAAAUCAACCGAGAUUCCCCCAGUAGCGGCGAGCGAACGGGGAGGAGCCCAGAGCCUGAAUCAGUGUGUGUGUUAGUGGAAGCGUCUGGAAAGGCGCGCGAUACAGGGUGACAGCCCCGUACACAAAAAUGCACAUAUUGUGAGCUCGAUGAGUAGGGCGGGACACGUGGUAUCCUGUCUGAAUAUGGGGGGACCAUCCUCCAAGGCUAAAUACUCCUGACUGACCGAUAGUGAACCAGUACCGUGAGGGAAAGGCGAAAAGAACCCCGGCGAGGGGAGUGAAAAAGAACCUGAAACCGUGUACGUACAAGCAGUGGGAGCCUCUUAAUGGGGUGACUGCGUACCUUUUGUAUAAUGGGUCAGCGACUUAUAUUCUGUAGCAAGGUUAACCGAAUAGGGGAGCCGAAGGGAAACCGAGUCUUAACUGGGCGUUAAGUUGCAGGGUAUAGACCCGAAACCCGGUGAUCUAGCCAUGGGCAGGUUGAAGGUUGGGUAACACUAACUGGAGGACCGAACCGACUAAUGUUGAAAAAUUAGCGGAUGACUUGUGGCUGGGGGUGAAAGGCCAAUCAAACCGGGAGAUAGCUGGUUCUCCCCGAAAGCUAUUUAGGUAGCGCCUCGUGAAUUCAUCUCCGGGGGUAGAGCACUGUUUCGGCAAGGGGGUCAUCCCGACUUACCAACCCGAUGCAAACUGCGAAUACCGGAGAAUGUUAUCACGGGAGACACACGGCGGGUGCUAACGUCCGUCGUGAAGAGGGAAACAACCCAGACCGCCAGCUAAGGUCCCAAAGUCAUGGUUAAGUGGGAAACGAUGUGGGAAGGCCCAGACAGCCAGGAUGUUGGCUUAGAAGCAGCCAUCAUUUAAAGAAAGCGUAAUAGCUCACUGGUCGAGUCGGCCUGCGCGGAAGAUGUAACGGGGCUAAACCAUGCACCGAAGCUGCGGCAGCGACACUAUGUGUUGUUGGGUAGGGGAGCGUUCUGUAAGCCUGUGAAGGUGUACUGUGAGGUAUGCUGGAGGUAUCAGAAGUGCGAAUGCUGACAUAAGUAACGAUAAAGCGGGUGAAAAGCCCGCUCGCCGGAAGACCAAGGGUUCCUGUCCAACGUUAAUCGGGGCAGGGUGAGUCGACCCCUAAGGCGAGGCCGAAAGGCGUAGUCGAUGGGAAACAGGUUAAUAUUCCUGUACUUGGUGUUACUGCGAAGGGGGGACGGAGAAGGCUAUGUUGGCCGGGCGACGGUUGUCCCGGUUUAAGCGUGUAGGCUGGUUUUCCAGGCAAAUCCGGAAAACCAAGGCUGAGGCGUGAUGACGAGGCACUACGGUGCUGAAGCAACAAAUGCCCUGCUUCCAGGAAAAGCCUCUAAGCAUCAGGUAACAUCAAAUCGUACCCCAAACCGACACAGGUGGUCAGGUAGAGAAUACCAAGGCGCUUGAGAGAACUCGGGUGAAGGAACUAGGCAAAAUGGUGCCGUAACUUCGGGAGAAGGCACGCUGAUAUGUAGGUGAAGCGACUUGCUCGUGGAGCUGAAAUCAGUCGAAGAUACCAGCUGGCUGCAACUGUUUAUUAAAAACACAGCACUGUGCAAACACGAAAGUGGACGUAUACGGUGUGACGCCUGCCCGGUGCCGGAAGGUUAAUUGAUGGGGUUAGCGGUAACGCGAAGCUCUUGAUCGAAGCCCCGGUAAACGGCGGCCGUAACUAUAACGGUCCUAAGGUAGCGAAAUUCCUUGUCGGGUAAGUUCCGACCUGCACGAAUGGCGUAAUGAUGGCCAGGCUGUCUCCACCCGAGACUCAGUGAAAUUGAACUCGCUGUGAAGAUGCAGUGUACCCGCGGCAAGACGGAAAGACCCCGUGAACCUUUACUAUAGCUUGACACUGAACAUUGAGCCUUGAUGUGUAG
RNAcentral lists this ribosomal RNA (2113 nucleotides) under Escherichia coli. RNAcentral describes it as "bacterial LSU rRNA". It matches the Rfam family "Bacterial large subunit ribosomal RNA", at positions 1 to 2141 of the family's 2925-position model. The record is from RNAcentral. Lineage: Bacteria; Pseudomonadati; Pseudomonadota; Gammaproteobacteria; Enterobacterales; Enterobacteriaceae.